RNAcentral lists this ribosomal RNA (545 nucleotides) under uncultured Gigasporaceae. Its description in RNAcentral is "SSU rRNA". It matches the Rfam family "Eukaryotic small subunit ribosomal RNA", at positions 548 to 1098 of the family's 1831-position model. The record is from RNAcentral. Lineage: Eukaryota; Fungi; Glomeromycota; Glomeromycetes; Diversisporales; Gigasporaceae.
UUGGAGGGCAAGUCUGGUGCCAGCAGCCGCGGUAAUUCCAGCUCCAAUAGCGUAUAUUAAAGUUGUUGCAGUUAAAAAGCUCGUAGUUGAAUUUCGGGGUUCUACCGUUGGUCGGGCAAUAGUCUGUACUGGCGUGUAGAAUUUCUACCUUCUGGGGAACUAUCAUGUUAUUUAUUUAGCGUGGUAGGAAACCAGGACCUUUACCUUGAAAAAAUUAGAGUGUUCAAAGCAGGCUUACGUCUGAAUACAUUAGCAUGGAAUAAUAAAAUAGGACGGUGGUCCUGUUUUGUUGGUUUCUGAAUCACCGUAAUGAUUAAUAGGGAUAGUUGGGGGCAUUAGUAUUCAAUUGUCAGAGGUGAAAUUCUUGGAUUUAUUGAAGACUAACUUCUGCGAAAGCAUUUGCCAAGGAUGUUUUCAUUAAUCAAGAACGAAAGUUAGGGGAUCGAAGACGAUCAGAUACCGUCGUAGUCUUAACCAUAAACUAUGCCGACUAGGGAUCGGACGAUGUUAAUUUUUCUUGACUCGUUCGGCGCCUUACGGGAAAC